Molecule: long non-coding RNA, 212 nt
Filed under: Helianthus annuus (common sunflower)
Lineage: Eukaryota; Viridiplantae; Streptophyta; Magnoliopsida; Asterales; Asteraceae
Description: sRNA HanXRQr2_Chr06g0275981
Source: RNAcentral
UUUUAAGUAUAAAUAGAGGGGUGUGGGACUUGUAGUUUGGCGUUGGAACGACGAUAAAACUCAAUUCGUACACUGAGGUAUAGUCCAAAUACUACAGAAACACACUAGCUCGAAUUCUGCUACGAUACAGGUUAUCGUAAAUGCUGUGUAAUUACAGUAGAUUGGAGUAAGAGUUGGAUACGGCAUUGAAAGGCUUCAAGAAGUGGCUUAUU